RNAcentral lists this small nuclear RNA (32 nucleotides) under Cervus elaphus hippelaphus. Lineage: Eukaryota; Metazoa; Chordata; Mammalia; Artiodactyla; Cervidae. The record is from RNAcentral.
AUUGCUUCUUGGCCUUGGCUAAGAUCAAGUGU